This 674-nucleotide long non-coding RNA is filed under the name Ananas comosus (pineapple). RNAcentral's name for it is "long non-coding RNA (ACOM_LNC032884)". Lineage: Eukaryota; Viridiplantae; Streptophyta; Magnoliopsida; Poales; Bromeliaceae. The record is from RNAcentral.
AGCUUUUCAAAAACGUAAAAUUAGAGAAUAAAAAACUUGUGAGGAACCGACCGUCUCUAGAGCAUAUGGCAAAGGACUUGAUGAUUGGUAUUCGAGAUCCAAGUUCGAAUUCUAGUUGAUUCAUAUUUCUAGCUAAGUUUAUUUCUAAAUGAUAUAAACGAAGCUGGUAGCGUGCUAUCUAUCUCUCAAAAAAANGCUUUUCAAAAACGUAAAAUUAGAGAAUAAAAAACUUGUGAGGAACCGACCGUCUCUAGAGCAUAUGGCAAAGGACUUGAUGAUUGGUAUUCGAGAUCCAAGUUCGAAUUCUAGUUGAUUCAUAUUUCUAGCUAAGUUUAUUUCUAAAUGAUAUAAACGAAGCUGGUAGCGUGCUAUCUAUCUCUCAAAAAAAAAAAAAAAAAAAAAACUUGUGAGGAUAUUUCUGCACUUGGCGCAUCGCAGCCGCAGAUUUUUUUGCAUCGUUGGGCAAGAUAAAGGUGCUGUUUGGAACUGCGUAAAAUUGAAAACGAAAAACUCGUGAGUUUCGCAAACUCGACUUCACUUUUCAUCCCCACUGAAGUCAAAAAGCCUAUUUUUUAUGGAAUUGUGAGUGAGAGUUCGAAUGGUCUCGUGAUUUUGGUGCUUAAACAAAUACAAAUGCUUGCGACUUUAUUAUAAUCACAAGUUCAAUCUAUCUG